Molecule: long non-coding RNA, 982 nt
Filed under: Theobroma cacao (cacao)
Lineage: Eukaryota; Viridiplantae; Streptophyta; Magnoliopsida; Malvales; Malvaceae
Description: long non-coding RNA (TCAC_LNC002867)
Source: RNAcentral
GUUUGGAGCUUUUUCUACACUGGGAUGUAACUUUCUACCUUCUUCUCUCUAUUCCUCUUGCUUCUGAUGUUUAUGCUGCUCUUUCUCUAAAAAGGCUCUAUUUUUUCUACUCUCUCAUCAGCUCUCUCUCUUCUCUUUACCCAUUUCUUUUUCUGCUCUCUCUCACCCAAGAUCUCCCUCUCUUCACUCACCCCACCGGUGGCACCCUUCAAGUUUUCUCCUUUUUUAACCAACGACACUUACCCAAACUUUACCCUCUCUAACCGGCGGCAACUAACCCAAACUUUAUCCUCUAACCGAUGGCACCAAACCCAGGCUUUACUACCCUCUAACCAACGGUAACUAACCCAAACUUUAUCCUCUAACUGACGGCACCAAACCAAACUUUAUCCUCUAACUGGUGGCACCAAACCCAGGCUUUCCUACCCUUUAACCAACAGCACCCUUCAAAACACUCUACUUUCCAACCGGCGGCACCAAACCCAGGCUCACUUCCCUUUUUUAUCCGAUCCAAUCCCCUUCCAAAAGACCUCUGAAUCUCUACUCACCGUGAGAGAGAAAAAAAUAGAAAUCCCCUUUCUCCCCCCCGAUUACUCCUUAUUUUCUGUUGCUUUUCAUCAAUUUUUUUUUUGGUUGUGGAUAGUGGUUCAAGCUGCUAGAAAACUUAGGGUUUCUUUUCUUAUUUUUGGUUGCCGUUGUGGUCUUUUUGUAGCUGCUACAAUAGUGUUUUUAUACCCAAUUCCAAUCUUGGGGGUGCCAUUUCCACUUUUUGCCAAACGCGAGUUUUUCACGUAUGGCAGAACGUAUUGUGCCUGGCAGGGUGCGCUAGCUUUUUCUUCUUUUUUUUUUAGCUUUAUUUAUUUCAUAUGUUUCUGGAGUAUUCCAGAUUUUGUUUAGAAUUUUAAUAUUUGAUUAGUGUUUUAAUCCGUUUUAAUCGUUUUGAUCCAUCCUUAAUUGCAUUAGUUUUAUUGGACUAGUUUUU